Molecule: ribosomal RNA, 253 nt
Filed under: uncultured bacterium
Lineage: Bacteria
Description: partial 16S ribosomal RNA
Rfam family: Bacterial small subunit ribosomal RNA
Source: RNAcentral
UACGUAGGGUGCAAGCGUUAAUCGGAAUUACUGGGCGUAAAGCGUGCGCAGGCGGUGAUGUAAGACAGAUGUGAAAUCCCCGGGCUCAACCUGGGAACUGCAUUUGUGACUGCAUCGCUGGAGUACAGUAGAGGACCAUGGAAUUCCAGGUGUAGCGGUGGAAUGCGUAGAUAUCUGGAAGAACACCGGUGGCGAAGGCGGUGGUCUGGGCUGUUACUGACGCUGAGGAGCGAAAGCCAGGGGAGCAAACGGG